This 406-nucleotide ribosomal RNA is filed under the name uncultured bacterium. RNAcentral describes it as "partial 16S ribosomal RNA". It matches the Rfam family "Bacterial small subunit ribosomal RNA", at positions 30 to 526 of the family's 1533-position model. The record is from RNAcentral.
AUUGAACGCUGGCGGCAGGCCUAACACAUGCAAGUCGAACGAGUGGCGGACGGGUGAGUAAUGUCUGGGAAACUGCCCGAUGGAGGGGGAUAACUAAUGGAAACGGUAGAUAAUACCGCAUACAAUCGGAUGUGCCCAGAUGGGAUUAGCCAGUAGGUGGGGUAACGGCUCACCUAGGCGACGAUACCUAGCUGGUCUGAGAGGAUGCCCAGCCACAUGUGAACUGAUACACCGUCCAGACUCCUACGGGAGGCAGCAGUGGGGAAUAUUGCACAAUGGGCGCAAGCCUGAUGCAGCCAUGCCGCGUGUAUGAAGAAGUCCUUCGGGUUGUAAAGUACUUUCAGCGGGGAGGCGUUACCCGCAGAAGAAGCACCGGCUAACUCCGUGCCAGCAGCCGCGGUAAUUC